UAUAAGCAUAACAUUUAAGACUCUGUAAAUAGUGCGCUGUCGCUUUAAUUGAGUGUGAGCAGCGCAGCAAAAAUAGACUCGGCGCCGAAAUCAUCACUGCACUGCUGCUCACGCACCGCUUCUGCUCCGCGAGCACGAGCUGCUUACGCGUGCAGUAUGAAUGCUCUCAUCUGUUAACAUGUGCGCCGGAAAAAAUACGCACUGCUUACGCGUUCGGUGUGAAACGGGCGAGAGUGUCGCGCCAAUUUCGUUCACUGCAAUGGAACAGUUUUUUCACAGCAACGGCGGUUCACGGAUCCUCUCUCUCAACGGCUCUGGGUGGGGGCAGGGUGGGCAAAGCUUCUGAAACGGUGGGCAAAGCCCACCCUGGCCCCCAGCCGGGCCUGGUGGGAAUAUAGAAACACUGGCUGCAUCAGCCAUUAAAAUCUCUCAGAUAAAUGCACCCGUGGAGACCUACCGCCGCACUGUCUGCUAGACACGCACCAUGUGUAUUGCCUUUUCUGUAGUUGCUUAUGAAAACUGAACCCUUGACCUUGGCGUGACACUUUACCUAUUGAGCUACAGGAACCCCGCGGCUUUGGCACAACAUGAAGUAUGGAGAUCACCUGGAUCCCUUGAGUCUCAACUGGUGCCUUUGUUCCAACCAGUGGAUAUAAGUGAAUUAAUGGCAAUGAUCAGACCGAUGGUUUUAUUUGUAGAUUUUUUACAUUUUUUUAAGUUGUCUAUUUUAAUCCCUUAUAAUAAUUUUGGAGCUCAACAAAGCAUAAUUGUGAAACAUGAUUUGUGAAAGUGACCUAUUUUUCAGAUAUGGUGACCCAUACCUGAAAUGUGACCUCUGCAUUUAACCCAUCCAGAGAGUAGUGAACACACGCACAGCAAGUCAUGAACACACGUACACCCGGAUCAGUGGGCAGCUAACACUUCAGUGCCCGGGGAGCAAGGUGCUUGCUCAAGGGCACCUCAGUCGUUACCCGCCAGCCAUGAGAAUCGAACCUGCAACCUUCUGGUCACGAGUCCGACUCUCUAACCAUUAGGCCACGACUUUGCACAAAUAUUAAAGAUAUUAAUGUGGUUGAAAAGCUGUAUAUGACUCUUUCUUCUGUGGAAGACAAAAGGAGAUAUUUUUAGAAAUGUCACAGUAGUUUUAUGUCCAUACAAUGGAAGUCAAAGGUGUCCAUUGUUGUUCUUCAAAAUAUCUUCUGCUGAGGAAAGAAAGUCAAAUAGAUUUGGAAUGACAUGAGGGGGGAUACAUGAAGAAAGAAAAUCCUAUUCAUCCAAAAUAAUCAGUUUUAGAACAGAGAGAAGUCAUACAGUACAAUUCUGAAACCUAACUGAAACUCCAAGAGAAGCGGCUAAAAUCUUUGCACAUAUGCAGAAAAGAAAGUAAGCUGUGUUGGGGAAGGAACUGCAGAUGGUUCGGUGCAAAAAGUACAACUGAAACCAGUGUCCAUGUGCUACAUGACAACCUCU
Molecule: long non-coding RNA, 1470 nt
Organism: Triplophysa rosa
Lineage: Eukaryota; Metazoa; Chordata; Actinopteri; Cypriniformes; Nemacheilidae
Exons: 3
Source: RefSeq, a predicted model, not a curated record